This 735-nucleotide ribosomal RNA is filed under the name uncultured Fusobacterium sp. RNAcentral describes it as "bacterial SSU rRNA". It matches the Rfam family "Bacterial small subunit ribosomal RNA", at positions 28 to 776 of the family's 1533-position model. The record is from RNAcentral. Lineage: Bacteria; Fusobacteriati; Fusobacteriota; Fusobacteriia; Fusobacteriales; Fusobacteriaceae.
GAUGAACGCUGACAGAAUGCUUAACACAUGCAGGUCAACUUGAAUUUGGGUUUUUAACUUAGAUUUGGGUGGCGAACGGGUGAGUAACGCGUAAAGAACUUGCCUCACAGCUAGGGACAACAUUUAGAAAUGAAUGCUAAUACCUGAUAUUAUGAUUUUAAGGCAUCUUAGAAUUAUGAAAGCUAUAAGCACUGUGAGAGAGCUUUGCGUCCCAUUAGCUAGUUGGAGAGGUAACAGCUCACCAAGGCGAUGAUGGGUAGCCGGCCUGAGAGGGUGAACGGCCACAAGGGGACUGAGACACGGCCCUUACUCCUACGGGAGGCAGCAGUGGGGAAUAUUGGACAAUGGACCGAGAGUCUGAUCCAGCAAUUCUGUGUGCACGAUGAAGUUUUUCGGAAUGUAAAGUGCUUUCAGUUGGGAAGAAAAAAAUGACGGUACCAACAGAAGAAGUGACGGCUAAAUACGUGCCAGCAGCCGCGGUAAUACGUAUGUCACGAGCGUUAUCCGGAUUUAUUGGGCGUAAAGCGCGUCUAGGUGGUUAUGUAAGUCUGAUGUGAAAAUGCAGGGCUCAACUCUGUAUUGCGUUGGAAACUGUAUAACUAGAGUACUGGAGAGGUAAGCGGAACUACAAGUGUAGAGGUGAAAUUCGUAGAUAUUUGUAGGAAUGCCGAUGGGGAAGCCAGCUUACUGGACAGAUACUGACGCUAAAGCGCGAAAGCGUGGGUAGCAAACAGG